Molecule: small nucleolar RNA, 144 nt
Organism: Amaranthus tricolor (Joseph's coat)
Lineage: Eukaryota; Viridiplantae; Streptophyta; Magnoliopsida; Caryophyllales; Amaranthaceae
Product: small nucleolar RNA snoR135
Exons: 1
Source: RefSeq, a predicted model, not a curated record
GAAGCAGGGAUUGUGUGUAUCGAUAUGAUGCGUUUUAUGCAUCAAUUUAUCGAAAGAGUUCUCUGCAAAAUUAAUUUUAGGGGAAGAUGGGCAGUUGUGUUUCAUCCUCUAUUGAUUUUUUCAACAAUCAUCUUCCCUAAAUUU